Molecule: ribosomal RNA, 462 nt
Filed under: uncultured bacterium
Lineage: Bacteria
Description: partial 16S ribosomal RNA
Rfam family: Bacterial small subunit ribosomal RNA
Source: RNAcentral
GACGAACGCUGGCGGCGUGCUUAACACAUGCAAGUCGAGCGGUAAGGCCUUUCGGGGUCCACGAGCGGCGAACGGGUGAGUAACACGUGGGUGAUCUGCCCUGCACUUCGGGAUAAGCCUGGGAAACUGGGUCUAAUACCGGAUAUGACCUCCUAUCGCAUGGUGGGUGGUGGAAAGAUUUAUCGGUGCAGGAUGGGCCCGCGGCCUAUCAGCUUGUUGGUGGGGUAAUGGCCUACCAAGGCGACGACGGGUAGCCGACCUGAGAGGAUGACCGGCCACACUGGGACUGAGACACGGCCCAGACUCCUACGGGAGGCAGCAGUGGGGAAUAUUGCACAAUGGGCGAAAGCCUGAUGCAGCGACGCCGCGUGAGGGAUGACGGCCUUCGGGUUGUAAACCUCUUUCAGCAGGGACGAAGCGCAAGUGACGGUACCUGCAGAAGAAGCACCGGCUAACUACGUG